This 410-nucleotide ribosomal RNA is filed under the name uncultured bacterium. RNAcentral's name for it is "bacterial SSU rRNA". It matches the Rfam family "Bacterial small subunit ribosomal RNA", at positions 80 to 524 of the family's 1533-position model. The record is from RNAcentral.
AAUGUUUCGCCCAUAGUGGCGCUCGGGUGCGUAACGCGUGGGAAUCUGCCCUUGGGUUCGGGAUAACCGUUGGAAACGACGGCUAAUACCGGAUGAUGUCGAUAAGACCAAAGAUUUAUCGCCCAGGGAUGAGCCCGCGUAGGAUUAGCUAGUUGGUGGGGUAAAGGCCUACCAAGGCGACGAUCCUUAGCUGGUCUGAGAGGAUGAUCAGCCACACUGGGACUGAGACACGGCCCAGACUCCUACGGGAGGCAGCAGUGGGGAAUAUUGGACAAUGGGCGAAAGCCUGAUCCANCAAUGCCGCGUGAGUGAUGAAGGCCUUAGGGUUGUAAAGCUCUUUUACCCGGGAUGAUAAUGACAGUACCGGGAGAAUAAGCUCCGGCUAACUCCGUGCCAGCAGCCGCGGUAAU